GUCCAGCAGUAACCUAACAACCUCACCAGUCUUACAGUAAGAUCGAUGACACAUCCCUCACUCCCACACAAGCAUAGCAAUGGUAAAACACCCAUGGUAUGUCCCUCUCCUUAAUAGCUGAAGUCAAAGUGUCUGGGAAAAUCCUGCUUGGAAAUGUGUAUUUUUUUUUACUGUGCCUUUUUUUCUUCUCGCUAAUGAUCACUACUUAUUUAAUCUGUGAUGACAAUCAAUACUUAAUAGCUGCCCCCUACUCAUCAAUCAUCUUGCUUCAUCAAUCAUAUUUUAUUCCACCUCUGGAUUGGACAGGAGAUACAGCCCAUAUCAUUGGGCAGACCACUUGUCUAUCAUUAAUU
Molecule: non-coding RNA, 353 nt
Organism: Pelobates cultripes (western spadefoot toad)
Lineage: Eukaryota; Metazoa; Chordata; Amphibia; Anura; Pelobatidae
Source: the annotation of a GenBank genome assembly